RNAcentral lists this ribosomal RNA (668 nucleotides) under Aliivibrio sp. HM3-18. RNAcentral describes it as "bacterial SSU rRNA". It matches the Rfam family "Bacterial small subunit ribosomal RNA", at positions 20 to 677 of the family's 1533-position model. The record is from RNAcentral. Lineage: Bacteria; Pseudomonadati; Pseudomonadota; Gammaproteobacteria; Vibrionales; Vibrionaceae.
UGGCUCAGAUUGAACGCUGGCGGCAGGCCUAACACAUGCAAGUCGAGCGGUAACAGAAAUUAGCUUGCUAAUUUGCUGACGAGCGGCGGACGGGUGAGUAAUGCCUGGGAAUAUGCCUUAGUGUGGGGGAUAACUAUUGGAAACGAUAGCUAAUACCGCAUAAUGUCUUCGGACCAAAGAGGGGGAUCUUCGGACCUCUCGCGCUAAGAUUAGCCCAGGUGAGAUUAGCUUGUUGGUGAGGUAAGAGCUCACCAAGGCGACGAUCUCUAGCUGGUCUGAGAGGAUGAUCAGCCACACUGGAACUGAGACACGGUCCAGACUCCUACGGGAGGCAGCAGUGGGGAAUAUUGCACAAUGGGCGAAAGCCUGAUGCAGCCAUGCCGCGUGUAUGAAGAAGGCCUUCGGGUUGUAAAGUACUUUCAGUCGUGAGGAAGGGUGUGUAGUUAAUAGCUGCAUAUCUUGACGUUAGCGACAGAAGAAGCACCGGCUAACUCCGUGCCAGCAGCCGCGGUAAUACGGAGGGUGCGAGCGUUAAUCGGAAUUACUGGGCGUAAAGCGCAUGCAGGUGGUUCAUUAAGUCAGAUGUGAAAGCCCGGGGCUCAACCUCGGAACCGCAUUUGAAACUGGUGAACUAGAGUGCUGUAGAGGGGGGUAGAAUUUCAGGUGUA